CAGCAGCCGCGGUAAUACGAAGGGGGCUAGCGUUGCUCGGAAUUACUGGGCGUAAAGGGAGCGUAGGCGGGUCGUUAAGUUGGGGGUGAAAGCCCGGGGCUCAACCUCGGAACUGCCUUCAAUACUGGCGAUCUUGAGUAUGAGAGAGGUGUGUGGAACUCCGAGUGUAGAGGUGAAAUUCGUAGAUAUUCGGAAGAACACCAGUGGCGAAGGCGACACACUGGCUCAUUACUGACGCUGAGGCUCGAAAGCGUGGGGAGCAAACAGGAUUAGAUACCCCUGUAGUCCCUGUCUCUUAUAC
RNAcentral lists this ribosomal RNA (301 nucleotides) under uncultured bacterium. Its description in RNAcentral is "partial 16S ribosomal RNA". It matches the Rfam family "Bacterial small subunit ribosomal RNA", at positions 509 to 807 of the family's 1533-position model. The record is from RNAcentral.